This is a long non-coding RNA of Oncorhynchus gorbuscha (pink salmon), 590 nucleotides long. RefSeq lists it as uncharacterized. The transcript has 5 exons. The record is from RefSeq and is a predicted model, not a curated record. Lineage: Eukaryota; Metazoa; Chordata; Actinopteri; Salmoniformes; Salmonidae.
GUUAAGAGAGGGAGCCAACAAGGAGAUCCUGGGUAUCAUCGUAUCCUACAAAGUCAAAGUGAAGCUUGUUGUGUCUCGAGGCGGACUCUUAGGAGAUCUGGCAACGAGCGAUGUCCAUGUUGAGCUGCCAUUUACGCUAAUGCAUCCCAAACCAAUCGAAGAUGCAAUCUACAGAGAUGCUGCAGACGAGGCGCCAAUAGACACAAACUUGAUAGAAUUUGACACAAACGACGAUGACAUCAUCUUUGAGGAUUUUGCGCGUCAGCGGCUGAUCGGAGCGAAAGACGAUGAGGAUGAGGAGGGUGCGGACUCUCCCAAGCUGAACCACAGAUAGAGGAGGGAGAUGGAAGCUGCUGUGUUGUUCCUGUGUUGUGGUACAGAGGAGCUACUGUGACUGGAGGAGAGAGGGAGACCCUUUAAACACGCUCACAGUGGUGCCGUUGUCCUGUUCUUGUUCACAUUCGUCUUCUCCAUACAGCAAGGAUGUCAGAGAGAAAGUUUAGAGGAAAUGAGGCCUAGUCGUGGUGUGGUUUGAGGGGGUGGACCUUGACGCCUAGUUGUGGUGUGGUUUGAGGGGGGUGGACCUUGAC